UUGGUUAAGUUAGAAAGGGCGCACGGUGGAUGCCUUGGCACUAGGAGCCGAAGAAGGACGGGACUAACACCGAUAUGCUUUGGGGAGCUGUACGUAAGCGUUGAUCCAGAGAUUUCCGAAUGGGGGAACCCACUAUCUUUAGUCGGAUAGUAUCCUUACGUGAAUACAUAGCGUGAGGAAGGCAGACCCAGGGAACUGAAACAUCUAAGUACCUGGAGGAAGAGAAAGAAAAAUCGAUUUCCUGAGUAGCGGCGAGCGAAACGGAAAGAGCCCAAACCAAGAAGCUUGCUUCUUGGGGUUGUAGGACACUCUAUACGGAGUUACAAAAGAAAGUUAUAAAUGAAGCGGUCUGGAAAGGCCCGCCAAAGACGGUAACAGCCCGGUAGUUGAAAUGGCUUUCCCUCCAGAGUGGAUCCUGAGUACGGCGGAACACGUGAAAUUCCGUCGGAAUCCGGGAGGACCAUCUCCCAAGGCUAAAUACUCCCUAGUGACCGAUAGUGAACCAGUACCGUGAGGGAAAGGUGAAAAGCACCCCGGAAGGGGAGUGAAACAGUUCCUGAAACCGUGUGCCUACAAGUAGUUAGAGCCCGUUAAUGGGUGAUAGCGUGCCUUUUGUAGAAUGAACCGGCGAGUUACGAUUUGUUGCAAGGUUAAGCGGAAAAAGCGGAGCCGUAGCGAAAGCGAGUCUGAAUAGGGCGCAUAAGUAACAGGUCGUAGACCCGAAACCAGGUGAUCUACCCAUGUCCAGGAUGAAGGUAAGGUAAUACUUACUGGAGGUCCGAACCCACGCACGUUGAAAAGUGCGGGGAUGAGGUGUGGGUAGCGGAGAAAUUCCAAUCGAACUUGGAGAUAGCUGGUUCUCUCCGAAAUAGCUUUAGGGCUAGCCUCGAGGUAAAGAGUCAUGGAGGUAGAGCACUGUUUGGACUAGGGGCCCUUCUCGGGUUACCGAAUUCAGAUAAACUCCGAAUGCCAUGUACUUAUACUCGGGAGUCAGACUGCGAGUGAUAAGAUCCGUAGUCGAAAGGGAAACAGCCCAGACCACCAGUUAAGGUCCCCAAAUAUAUGUUAAGUGGAAAAGGAUGUGGGGUUGCUUAGACAACCAGGAUGUUGGCUUAGAAGCAGCCACCAUUGAAAGAGUGCGUAAUAGCUCACUGGUCGAGUGACCCCGCGCCGAAAAUGUACCGGGGCUAAACAUAUUACCGAAACUGUGGAUGAACCUCUUUAGAGGUUCGUGGUAGGAGAGCGUUCUAAGGGCGGUGAAGUCAGACCGGAAGGACUGGUGGAGCGCUUAGAAG
RNAcentral lists this ribosomal RNA (1295 nucleotides) under Listeria monocytogenes. Its description in RNAcentral is "partial 23S ribosomal RNA". It matches the Rfam family "Bacterial large subunit ribosomal RNA", at positions 1 to 1288 of the family's 2925-position model. The record is from RNAcentral. Lineage: Bacteria; Bacillati; Bacillota; Bacilli; Caryophanales; Listeriaceae.